Molecule: non-coding RNA, 585 nt
Filed under: Trichobilharzia regenti
Lineage: Eukaryota; Metazoa; Platyhelminthes; Trematoda; Strigeidida; Schistosomatidae
Description: Eukaryotic small subunit ribosomal RNA
Rfam family: Eukaryotic small subunit ribosomal RNA
Source: Rfam by way of RNAcentral
AAACUGGCUGAUCCUGCCAGUAAUCAUACACUUGCCUCAGAGAUUAAACCACGCAUGUCCAGAUACAUACCUUAAAAAGGUGAAACUGCAAAUAGCUCAAUAAAUCAGAUAGGCUUCCUUAGAUCAUAUAUACUCCACGGAUAACUGAAGUAAUUCUAGAACUAAUACACGCCAUUACCUUCACUAAAACUUUUCAACUGUCGUUUAAAGCCCUAAUAGUUCCAUUUGGAAGGCAAACAGAAUGGAGAAACCAACAAACCAACCGACCAAUAAACUAAAGCUUGAUAACAUUUUAACACUGUACGGUGACCUAUUCCUAAACUGCUGAAAUUUACAUUGCUAUUUCUUUUAUUUUCAAACAAUCUAAUUCCCUUAUGAGACGAUACUGUUCACUGUACGACAACGGAACAUGUCAAGUGAUCCACAACGGAAAACUCAGUAAGGCGUUUGGGGGAAACACAGGAUUCAGACAAGGGUGCUUAUUAUCACCAAUGAUAUUCCUAAUUGUGGUGAACUGACUUGAUUAUGCGUCAGACAGUGAGUGGGAAACGAGAAAACAGGGAGGGAUAUCCUGGACCGACCGAC